RNAcentral lists this ribosomal RNA (434 nucleotides) under uncultured Clostridium sp. RNAcentral describes it as "partial 16S ribosomal RNA". It matches the Rfam family "Bacterial small subunit ribosomal RNA", at positions 341 to 792 of the family's 1533-position model. The record is from RNAcentral. Lineage: Bacteria; Bacillati; Bacillota; Clostridia; Eubacteriales; Clostridiaceae.
ACGGAGGGCAGCAGUGGGGAAUAUUGCACAAUGGGGGAAACCCUGAUGCAGCGACGCCGCGUGAGUGAAGAAGUAUCUCGGUAUGUAAAGCUCUAUCAGCAGGGAAGAAAAUGACGGUACCUGACUAAGAAGCCCCGGCUAACUACGUGCCAGCAGCCGCGGUAAUACGUAGGGGGCAAGCGUUAUCCGGAUUUACUGGGUGUAAAGGGAGCGUAGACGGCGAUGCAAGUCUGAAGUGAAAGGCGGGGGCUCAACCCUUGGACUGCUUUGGAAACUGUAUUGCUAGAGUGCAGGAGAGGUAAGUGGAAUUCCUAGUGUAGCGGUGAAAUGCGUAGAUAUUAGGAGGAACACCAGUGGCGAAGGCGGCUUACUGGACUGUAACUGACGUUGAGGCUCGAAAGCGUGGGGAGCAAACAGGAUUAGAUACCCUGGUA